This 459-nucleotide ribosomal RNA is filed under the name uncultured bacterium. RNAcentral's name for it is "partial 16S ribosomal RNA". It matches the Rfam family "Bacterial small subunit ribosomal RNA", at positions 338 to 795 of the family's 1533-position model. The record is from RNAcentral.
CCUACGGGAGGCAGCAGUGAGGAAUAUUGGUCAAUGGCCGGGAGGCUGAACCAGCCAAGUCGCGUGAGGGAAGACGGCCCUACGGGUUGUAAACCUCUUUUGUCAGGGAGCAAGGUGCAGGUCGGGACCUGCUGUGAGAGUACCUGGAGAAAAAGCGUCGGCUAACUCCGUGCCAGCAGCCGCGGUAAUACGGAGGAUGCGAGCGUUAUCCGGAUUUAUUGGGUUUAAAGGGUGCGCAGGCGGAGGCACAAGUCAGCGGUAAAAUCGCGGGGCUCAACCCCGCUCCGCCGUUGAAACUGUGUGCCUUGAGUGCGCGAAGGGCAGGCGGAAUGCGUGGUGUAGCGGUGAAAUGCAUAGAUAUCACGCAGAACUCCGAUCGCGAAGGCAGCCUACCGGCGCGCAACUGACGCUCAUGCACGAAAGCGUGGGUAUCGAACAGGAUUAGAUACCCCAGUAGUC